RNAcentral lists this ribosomal RNA (492 nucleotides) under uncultured bacterium. Its description in RNAcentral is "partial 16S ribosomal RNA". It matches the Rfam family "Bacterial small subunit ribosomal RNA", at positions 28 to 507 of the family's 1533-position model. The record is from RNAcentral.
GACGAACGCUGGCGGCGUGCUUAACACAUGCAAGUCGAACGGAAAGGCCCCCACUUUUUUGGUGGGGGUGCUCGAGUGGCGAACGGGUGAGUAACACGUGGGCGAUCUGCCCUGUACUUCGGGAUAAGCUUGGGAAACUGGGUCUAAUACCGGAUAGGACCAUGGUUUAGUGUCUCAUGGUGGAAAAAUUAUUGUUUUGGUGCAGGAUGAGCUCGCGGCCUAUCAGCUUGUUGGUGGGGUAAUGGCCUACCAAGGCGUCGACGGGUAGCCGGCCUGAGAGGGUGGGCGGCCACAUUGGGACUGAGAUACGGGCCAGACUCCUACGGGAGGCAGCAGUGGGGAAUAUUGCACAAUGGACGCAAGCCUGAUGGAGGGACGCCGCGUGGGGGAUGACGGCGUUCGGGUUGUAGGCUCCUUUCGUGAGGGACGAAGCCGCACCUUUUUUGGGUGUGGUGACGGUACCUUUGUUAAGAAGCACCGGCUAACUACGUG